RNAcentral lists this ribosomal RNA (510 nucleotides) under uncultured bacterium. RNAcentral describes it as "bacterial SSU rRNA". It matches the Rfam family "Bacterial small subunit ribosomal RNA", at positions 1 to 507 of the family's 1533-position model. The record is from RNAcentral.
ACUGUACGAGUUUGAUCAUGGCUCAGAUUGAACGCUGGCGGAAUGCUUUACACAUGCAAGUCGAGCGGCAGCGCGGGGGCAACCCUGGCGGCGAGCGGCGAACGGGUGAGUAACAUAUCGGAACGUACCCAGUCGUGGGGGAUAACUAUCCGAAAGGAUAGCUAAUACCGCAUACGUCCUGAGGGAGAAAGCGGGGGAUCGCAAGACCUCGCGCGAUUGGAGCGGCCGAUAUCGGAUUAGCUAGUUGGUGGGGUAAAGGCUCACCAAGGCGACGAUCCGUAGCGGGUCUGAGAGGACGACCCGCCACACUGGAACUGAGACACGGUCCAGACUCCUACGGGAGGCAGCAGUGGGGAAUUUUGGACAAUGGGCGCAAGCCUGAUCCAGCCAUGCCGCGUGAGUGAAGAAGGCCUUCGGGUUGUAAAGCUCUUUCAGCCGGGAAGAAAACGCAUGGGUUAAUACCCUGUGUGGAUGACGGUACCGGAAUAAGAAGCACCGGCUAACUACGUG